This 822-nucleotide long non-coding RNA is filed under the name Marmota monax (woodchuck). The record is from RNAcentral. Lineage: Eukaryota; Metazoa; Chordata; Mammalia; Rodentia; Sciuridae.
AUGCAGUCGUAGCACCAGGAUUAACCAGACAUAUGUUGGAGAAGGGACUGAAUGGGUGGGCAAAGACAUUGUACGUUACCAGAUUUGACUAGUGCUGGUUAAUCUCUGGAGACUCCUGAAGCUUUCGAUAAAUUUUAUUCAUUUGGCCACUUAAUAAGGCUUUAAGGAAGCCACCUGUGUACCAGGUACUGUGGCAGGCAUUGAGGAUAUAAGAGUAGAACCGAUGGAAGGGCCCCUAGCCUCAUGGAAAUUAGGUUCCAUCUAAUGGAAAUCCAAGGUGCAACUUUGAUUCUGUUGGGGUGGACAUUUAAAGUGAAGCCAUUUUCAUGAAUUAAAUGAGUGCAUGUUGUUAUUAGUGCUAUGAAGGAGAAAUGGUGUUGGCAUUGAGAACUGUCAGUCACAGGAAUAGAGCUAGGGUGGGAUGUUCCGACAACACCUCUCUAAGGAAGUGUCAUUGGAAGAAAGACCUGAAGGUCAAGAAAGAUUCACUCAAACACAAAGUGGGGUGAAGAAUGAUCUAGAAGGUUAUCCCAAGUAACAUUAUGUCCUGAAAUGAGUGAAGAACUCGACCUGCUCCAGGACAAGGAUCAGUGAGGCUGGAGAUAGCAAGAAGGAAGAAGAGUGAUCUCUGGUGCCUUGGAGCGGUCAUAAGGAGUCAGAUCGUGGGAGGCUACAAAGUCCGGGAUGGAAGGGUUGAGGUUCGUUAAAGUUGCUCUAGGAAGACAUGUAAAGGUGUGCUUACAAAGUGAGGUGACAUGACAUAACCCUGGCAUUAGGUAGGAAAUGGAUUGCAGGUCGGCAGGAAUGGAAGCAGAGGGCAGG